CCUGCAAAGCCACUGAAAUAUCACUCAAUGAAACCAAAAGGAGUAGAGCUUAUGUCUGAAACGAUGGCUUCUGUUGCGACUAACAUGGCGAGACUCGCUGAUGCAUACGAGAAGAGUUUGCCUUGCAUAGAUUAUAAUGAGCUUUACAAGGUUCUAAUGGAUGUUGAAGAUAUUGACAUCAAUUGCCAGAUGACUGCGUUUGACUUUUGUGUACUUGAAUGCAGAUCCUAUAAAAGCUAGAGCAUUUGUUAUUUACCCUCAGGAGAUGCGCUGCUUGCUUUUACUGGGAUCUGUGUACAGCUGAAGCAUACAGACAUCAGUCACAAGUCUUUUUGAGAUAUUCAUGUGGAAGUGGAAUUACUAUGCUGCAAAACUGACCUGAGGGAAAUACUAUACUACUAGUCCAAAGCACGGGUUAGUUUUACAUCGGUACCCGCUAGUCCAAAACCCAAGAACAGAGCUUCCAACUGCUAGACGACGCCGUUUUUCCACGAACCAAACUCACAUCUUGCCGUUGUGAUUUAAGUUUAUCACUAAGAUCGAUUGGGUCGUUGAAGGGGACCAACGGAGCUGAUAUAACUCAAGUGUUCUUGGGGUGCAAGGAUAUAUAAUUGAUAAACACAUUUCAUUGUGAGGCGAGGACAAGGAUGGAUGGGCCUCUCUACGACCUUGGGUGGUAAGCCUCGUCGAUACAACUCGCUUAAUCACUGCGACAACCCCUUGAGGUUGACCAAUAAUUAAAGUUUUUUUUUUUUUGCCUACGAUCAGAUCAGAACCAAUAGAAGUUUAACAGACAUAAUAGUGCAGCUUCAGAGGUAUUAAAAUCUAAAAUAUGUU
Long non-coding RNA from Rhododendron vialii, 837 nucleotides. RefSeq lists it as uncharacterized. Lineage: Eukaryota; Viridiplantae; Streptophyta; Magnoliopsida; Ericales; Ericaceae. The record is from RefSeq and is a predicted model, not a curated record. The transcript is spliced from 3 exons.